UGCAUAUAAUGCGUAAUUAACGCGAUCUAUUGAAACUGUCUUUUUUUCUUUUGAAGUCAAAUGUUGUUGAUAAAUUUCUUAAAUGAUAUGUGACAAUUGUUUUUUUAAAACUGGAAAUUAAAAUAAAGAUAAUUAUGAUACAUGAGUUUCUUUUCUUGAAUUCCUAAAGAAAUCUGACCAAGGGCACAAUACAACAUCCUUACAAUUAUUUUGAAUAUUUGACCUUAGAUCAGACACACAACAAGUGUACGUAUGCUAAUAUACUUUUAUAUGUGGAAUUGGGUUGCUGCCUCUUUUAGAUAUCCUUAUUAUAUUUACUGCAAAUGAUAUGAAAAAAAACAAAGUAAAGUCAAUGUAUUAAUCGAAACAGAUUUAACCAUCAUCGUUUUUUAUAUACAUUAAAGCAUGAUAUAAAUUAUAACAAGAGUAGACCAAAUAAUACUAGAAAAACGUUUUUGAAAAGCGAUUAAAAAAUACAAGCAAUGAAAGUAUAGCAUUGAAGAUAUAAAAUGUAAAAUCUAUCAAAUCCAAUAACGAGUUGACCACGACCUACUGAUUUUUGAAUAUCGAAAUAAAUCUCGUUAUUAGCAUAAAACAACACACAUAACUAUUUUUUCUUCAUAAGUUUUUGAACAAACCAAAAGUAUAAUUGUUUCUUUUAUUAAUUGUGACCAGGAUGGAGAGUUGUCUCAUUGGCACUCAUACCACAUCUUCUUAUAUCUAUGUUAAUUAAAUAAACCAUCACAUGCCUUUGAUUUAAUGUAAACUGUCAUAUAAUUUCACCAUUGAAUUGUUUUGACUCCCUUAAAAAUAUAAGAAAAAAAAAAAAAAUUUUCCACAUGUCUGAAUGAUAAGGUAAUAAAUACCGUAAAACAAACCGGGUGGUAGGGUGGGUGACAUUUGUGAUCCUUAGAUUACCAUACUCGUGGAAUAUAUAAGGUUAUAAAUUAUAGCAUAUCUUUAAUAUUUUUGUUUUUAUCUUGACCUGUCCCUAGCCCCUUUGGACUUAAGAAUGAUUGAUGGUAUUUAACUCUUACUGGGAGGUCAGUGCGAAAGGAAAAUGGAUAUCUGCUUGUCAUUAAGAGUCAAUAUGAGGUUUGAUUUAAUCGAUUAAUAUAAUUCUAUUGUAAUAUUGGGUUGAUCAACGUAUAAAUACUCUGCUUCGUAGAUUAAAGAUACAUUUUGCU
Molecule: long non-coding RNA, 1187 nt
Filed under: Mytilus galloprovincialis (Mediterranean mussel)
Lineage: Eukaryota; Metazoa; Mollusca; Bivalvia; Mytilida; Mytilidae
Source: RNAcentral